RNAcentral lists this ribosomal RNA (223 nucleotides) under uncultured bacterium. RNAcentral's name for it is "partial 16S ribosomal RNA". It matches the Rfam family "Bacterial small subunit ribosomal RNA", at positions 116 to 334 of the family's 1533-position model. The record is from RNAcentral.
CGUAGGUAACCUGCCUGGUAGCGGGGGGUAACUAUUGGAAACGAUAGCUAAUACCGCAUAACAGUCGACAUUGCAUGAUAUUGAUUUGAAAGGGGCAAUUGCUCCACUACCAGAUGGACCUGCGUUGUAUUAGCUAGUUGGUGAGGUAACGGCUCACCAAGGCGACGAUACAUAGCCGACCUGAGAGGGUGAUCGGCCACACUGGGACUGAGACACGGCCCAG